This 301-nucleotide ribosomal RNA is filed under the name uncultured bacterium. RNAcentral describes it as "partial 16S ribosomal RNA". It matches the Rfam family "Bacterial small subunit ribosomal RNA", at positions 509 to 807 of the family's 1533-position model. The record is from RNAcentral.
CAGUCGCCGCGGGAAUACGGAGGGAGCUAGCGUUGUUCGGAAUUACUGGGCGUAAAGCGCGCGUAGGCGGUUACUCAAGUCAGAGGUGAAAGCCCGGGGCUCAACCCCGGAACUGCCUUUGAAACUAGGUGACUAGAAUCUUGGAGAGGUCAGUGGAAUUCCGAGUGUAGAGGUGAAAUUCGUAGAUAUUCGGAAGAACACCAGUGGCGAAGGCGACUGACUGGACAAGUAUUGACGCUGAGGUGCGAAAGCGUGGGGAGCAAACAGGAUUAGAUACCCGCGUAGUCCCUGUCUCUUAUAC